CAAUCUCAGUUCGGAUUGUAGGCUGCAACUCGCCUACAUGAAGUUGGAAUCGCUAGUAAUCGCGAAUCAGAAUGUCGCGGUGAAUACGUUCCCGGGUCUUGUACACACCGCCCGUCACACCACGAGAGUUUACAACACCCGAAGUCAGUGGCCUAACCGCAAGGAGGGAGCUGCCUAAGGUGGGGUAGAUGAUUGGGGUGAAGUCGUAACAAGGUAUC
RNAcentral lists this ribosomal RNA (218 nucleotides) under uncultured bacterium. RNAcentral describes it as "partial 16S ribosomal RNA". It matches the Rfam family "Bacterial small subunit ribosomal RNA", at positions 1283 to 1500 of the family's 1533-position model. The record is from RNAcentral.